UACGUAGGGUCCAAGCGUUAUCCGGAAUCACUGGGCGUAAAGCGUGCGUAGGUGGCGUGUUAAGUGUGAUGUUAAAUCGUGGGGCUCAACCCUGUCGGUGCAUCACAUACUGGCAUGCUAGAGGACAGCAGAUGCAAGUGGAAUUGGUAGUGUAGCAGUGAAAUGCGUAGAUAUUACCAGGAACACCAAUGGCGAAGGCAGCUUGCUGGGCUACUCCUGACACUGAGGUACGAAAGCGUGGGGAGCGAACAGG
RNAcentral lists this ribosomal RNA (253 nucleotides) under uncultured bacterium. RNAcentral's name for it is "partial 16S ribosomal RNA". It matches the Rfam family "Bacterial small subunit ribosomal RNA", at positions 524 to 776 of the family's 1533-position model. The record is from RNAcentral.